GCACUAGGGCCUGCCUUAAGGCCGUUUUCAGCAUCUGUUGGAGCAGCGCCCUUAGUGGUGAUCGGAGGAUGCGGCUGCUUAUUCCCUGUGAAAGUAGAUACCAGCGCAGACUAAGGAAAGAUAGUAUGAGCGUCGGAGAUGUUCUGUGGCGGCGCUAGUGCAGAUGGUUCAGUAGCCGUUGAGUUAGGGUUUCCCAAAAGCGAAGCCCUAGCGUAGUUGAAUUCCGGAAAGAGGGUUGCAUCGCUUGUUGUAUCAUCGGUGGAGGAUCGAUCCAACGGGUGAGUGGCUGGAG
This 292-nucleotide long non-coding RNA is filed under the name Salvia miltiorrhiza (redroot sage). RNAcentral describes it as "long non-coding RNA (SMIL_LNC008831)". Lineage: Eukaryota; Viridiplantae; Streptophyta; Magnoliopsida; Lamiales; Lamiaceae. The record is from RNAcentral.